GUAAUACCUUAGUGUUGUGUGUUGUAAACAUAACUCUGAACAAAUGGCUUUAAUUGUUUCUUUUAGCUUAAGAUGAUUAAGCUUAAUGGAACAAUCCUUUAGUUUCUUAUUAGAAGUUUCAUUCUCAAAGAGAUGAGAAUAUGAGUGACUGGACUAUCUAGUACAAGUGCUACAAAUAUUAGUUCAUAGUCAAAGUUACUUUAUUGGACAUGAUCUAUCCG
This 221-nucleotide unclassified non-coding RNA is filed under the name Hevea brasiliensis (rubber tree). Lineage: Eukaryota; Viridiplantae; Streptophyta; Magnoliopsida; Malpighiales; Euphorbiaceae. The record is from RNAcentral.